This 163-nucleotide microRNA precursor is filed under the name Pelobates cultripes (western spadefoot toad). Lineage: Eukaryota; Metazoa; Chordata; Amphibia; Anura; Pelobatidae. The record is from RNAcentral.
AAAAAACUACAUAUACAAAAGAAAGUCCCUUUAAGAAACAAGUCCAAAGAGCACCUGACGCGUUUCGGCAAUAAGCCUUCACCUCGGAUGAAGGCUUAUUGCCGAAACGCGUCAGGUGCUCUUUGGACUUGUUUCUUAAAGGGACUUUCUUUUGUAUAUGUAG